Long non-coding RNA from Tympanuchus pallidicinctus (lesser prairie-chicken), 601 nucleotides. RefSeq lists it as uncharacterized. Lineage: Eukaryota; Metazoa; Chordata; Aves; Galliformes; Phasianidae. The transcript has 6 exons. The record is from RefSeq and is a predicted model, not a curated record.
GGAGCAGAAAAGAAUGGAGCCGGGCCCGAGGUCGUGGAAGGAAAAGUGAGAAAGGAGGCAAAGCAGCUGAGAAAUAAUACAAAAAAAAUAGCCAAAAAGCAGUUUUGGGUUGUGAGAGCACAUGGAGGUGAGAGCACACAGAUGUGAGAGCACAUGGAUGUGAGAGCACAUGGAGGUGAGAGCACAUGGAGGUGAGAGCACAUGGAGGUGAGAGCACACGGAUGUGAGAGCACAUGGAGGUGAGAGCACAUGGAGGUGAGAGCACAUGGAGGUGAGAGCACAUGGAUGUGAGAGCACAUGGAGGUGAGAGCACACGGAUGUGAGAGCACAUGGAGGUGAGAGCACAUGGAGGUGAGAGCACAUGGAGGUGAGAGCACAUGGGAUGUGAGAGCACACGGAUGUGAGAGCACAUGGAGGUGAGAGCACAUGGAGGUGAGAGCACACGGAUGUGAGAGCACACGGAUGUGAGAGCACAUGGAGGUAAGAGCACAUGGGACAAAGGCGUAGAAUAUUUGUAUCGUAGAAUCAUAGAAUCACGGAAUGGUUGGGUCGGAGGGGACCUCAGAGAUCACAGAACCACAGGACAGUUUAGGUUGGAGGG